Molecule: ribosomal RNA, 500 nt
Filed under: uncultured bacterium
Lineage: Bacteria
Description: partial 16S ribosomal RNA
Rfam family: Bacterial small subunit ribosomal RNA
Source: RNAcentral
AUUGAACGCUGGCGGAAUGCUUUACACAUGCAAGUCGAACGGCAGCACGGACUUCGGUCUGGUGGCGAGUGGCGAACGGGUGAGUAAUGUAUCGGAACGUGCCCAGUCGUGGGGGAUAACGUAGUGAAAAUUACGCUAAUACCGCAUACGAUCUAUGGAUGAAAGCGAGGGAUCGCAAGACCUCGCGCGAUUGGAGCGGCCGAUAUCAGAUUAGGUAGUUGGUGGGGUAAAGGCCCACCAAGCCAACGAUCUGUAGCUGGUCUGAGAGGACGACAAGCAACACUGGAACUGAGACAGGGUCCAGACUCCUACGGGAGGAAGCAGUGGGGAAUUUUGGACAAUGGGCGAAAGCCUGAUCCAGCCAUUCCGCGUGCAGGAUGAAGGCCCUCGGGUUGUAAACUGCUUUUGUACAGAACGAAAAGGUUUCUACUAAUACUAGGAGCUCAUGACGGUACUGUAAGAAUAAGCACCGGCUAACUACGUGCCAGCCGCCGCCGUAA